Halichondria panicea is the source of this 938-nucleotide long non-coding RNA. RefSeq lists it as uncharacterized. Lineage: Eukaryota; Metazoa; Porifera; Demospongiae; Suberitida; Halichondriidae. The record is from RefSeq and is a predicted model, not a curated record. The transcript is spliced from 2 exons.
UUAGCCUCGAUCCCAGGCCGAGUUUUCGCUUUUAUAACGGUUAGGCGAACAACUGGGCCUGGUACUAGUUGUCUGCGCAUGUGUCAGUCGUUCGUCAGAUUCUGACGAAUGGAUAUUCUCGUUCACUUUCGUGACAUUUAUAUUCGUGUACUAUCGUGUACUAGAAGUCAGUUCCCGUUUUAUCAUUAUUGGAAUCGAUUGGAAUGGCUCUUAGCUGAAGCUUCUCUCUUCUCUGAAGCUUAUUCUGAAGACUGAACAACAAGGGAAGAGGUAUAAAGCUUUGUCAAGCUUGUUAAGGUCAGAUAUUUUUGUGUGGGCCCUAUGGCCGGCUAUGCUAUCAAGUCUUGUUCAUGUUUGGCAAGAAUGUAGGUAGACUAUAGUUUCAUCAUUAAUAUGGUGGAUCAAGUGAAGAGUGUGAGCUAGAGAACUUGGUGCUGCCAUCAUCAGCUCGUCGACAAUGACACUAUAACCGAGAAAUUUAAUAUGUAUAGAUCUACACGUAUUUAAAAUGUCUACUUCUCUGUACAGGAGCAAUGGCUAAUAUCCAGCUAUCCCAACAGUGCUCCUCUUGGCUAUACUAACGGACGAGACUGGACAGUUUGAGACACAGGACUGGAGUAUGACCUGCUCAUUCGAGCGUUGCUGGGUAGCUCAGAGACAUCAAGAGAAUCUACGUUUUCUCAAGCAAUGAGUUACGAGUUGGGGCCUAGAAUCAGAGAAGUCCAGCAGCCUGCUAAAUCUUUUUGAAACGUAAUUUGAAGGCAUUCAAUCAUCCUGAAGUUGCCCUGUGUCACUGUAAUUGUGCUGCAGCACAACUGGCAACUCCCCAGGCCUUUGUGAAGCAGCUCCCUAUGUGCAUCUUUUGUGUACUCACUCUGUGCAUUUUCUGUGUACAAAUUUCCAUUAUUGAUUUAUUAAAUAUUUUUGCCGACCACAAA